Molecule: ribosomal RNA, 519 nt
Filed under: uncultured eukaryote
Lineage: Eukaryota
Description: bacterial SSU rRNA
Rfam family: Eukaryotic small subunit ribosomal RNA
Source: RNAcentral
AGGGCACCACCAGAUAUGGAGCCUGCGGCUUAAUUUGACUCAACACGGGGAAACUUACCUGGCCCGGACACUGGAAGGAUUGACAGAUUGAGAGCUCUUUCUUGAUUCAGUGGGUGGUGGUGCAUGGCCGUUCUUAGUUGGUGGAGCGAUUUGUCUGGUUAAUUCCGAUAACGAACGAGACUCUAGCCUACUAAAUAGACUGCUCAACUUUUUUUGUGCAUAACCGUGCUUAUUCUUCCGGGCUUGGACGGAUGCGGUGACAUUAGAAGAGCUUCUUAGAUGGAAAGGCCUUUGAUCAGCCGCACCAAACACACGCUUAACUGGACAGAGAUGCCCUUAUAUGUCCAGUGCCGCACGCGCACUGCACUAACCUGAUCAACGUGUUCUUGACGGUUCCUACUCAGUGAGGAGUGUCUAACCCGUUGAACCUUCUUCGUGAUUGGGAUAGGGGAUUGUCGUUAUUCUUCUUGAACUGGGAAUUGCACACAAGCGCCGGCCAUACUAUUGAUUGGAUUACUU